Molecule: long non-coding RNA, 395 nt
Organism: Glycine soja
Lineage: Eukaryota; Viridiplantae; Streptophyta; Magnoliopsida; Fabales; Fabaceae
Exons: 3
Source: RefSeq, a predicted model, not a curated record
UAAUGGUGAAGUGCAAUGCAGAGCCUUCCAGUGAGGAUGUUGCUUCAAAACCCAAAAAACUUAUUGGCUAGAUGAAGGUGCAAGGAGCCACCCCUUUCUACUACCGAAAGAUCCGUAGUGGAGGCUGGGCCAAAUGCUUCUUCCCUAACCAAAAAGGAAGAGGAAGACCUUCAACAUUUGAAGAAUCUUGGAAUAAAUUCUUACAGAAUGUCCAUUUCAUGGAGUAGACUUUUACCUAUUAAAUAAAUUUUUGCAUUAAUAAUAAUUACAAUCAUGCUAAUAUAUGUUAUUUUUAAUUAUUUAUAUUUUUUCUGAUGGGAUAUGAAUCAGAAAAAAUAUUAAUAAUUAAAAAUAAUAUUGAAUUCAAGGACGGUGCUUAUAUCAGCAACGUCUUU